GGAGCGUCGGGCAGAACGCUUGGACGUGCCGCUUCUGGGCCAGACCGAUGCGGGGCGCGGGCUGCAGGACGCGGGUUCCAGGACAACACACCUCCGAGCCCUAUAAGGUCGUGCAGCGUCCCGGGGAUUCAGUGGGAACCGCAGCCAUAUUCGCGGACGCGCCCGGGGCGGGGUCUCGCGCCAGCUCCGCCCCUCCUCGCCCGGCGGUGCUGGGGUGCUUCAGGUUUAACGGAAAGAAGAUCAAAAUAAGAGGGAAAUAAAAGUAUUUUUUAUAUUCAAGAAAAGAAAAGAAAAUUUGCCUCCAGACCCAAAUCGUGAACGUGUAACCAUUGUUUAAAGGUAACCAACACAGGCUCUGAAAAAUCAGCCAAUCAGAGAUAGCCUCUCUUCAGGGGCUUCCAAAUCAGCCAGUUAUCAACAGCUUCUGAAAGCCAGCUAAUCAUUAACAGUAGCCCAAUCAGCAGCUCAAUGACUGGGCUUCGGAAUGAAAGAGCGGUUCUCAGCCGCUUUGUUCCGCAGACCGCAGUAACAGCCAUUAGUCAGUAAAUUGCUAAACGGUCAAUUUAUUGAAACACCACAACCCCCUACAGACCCAAACGCUAUAUACAUCUUUGGCUUUGUUCGGAGUCGGCUUUGAGAAAUCAGCUUUCCUUUGCAAGCAAAUGUGAUAUUCACCCCGCCCCCUUUGAUAGGUUUUAUGUAGCCUAGGCUGGCCUUGAACCACUGAGCCUCUAGCUUCAGCCUCCUAAAUACUGACAUUACAGGUCUGCAUCAUCAUACAGCUGGAAGGCUGAUAUAAUUUGUAGCAUAGACCAAAAUUGUGUGCCAUUGGACGUUUGACUAAUGCCGUGGUAUGCAUAUACCACAUCUUGUUUAUUCAUUUAUCAGGUAAUUGAAUAAUGGGUUAUUUCCACGUUUUCUGUGCCUUAGCUUGAUGCCAAUAUGAACAGAUGUCGACAAGUUUUUGUGAAGACUUUUUUUUCUUGUAUAUGUAGUAUACUCUUCACAGUAUACUGCUUGAUCAUACAGAAUCUCUAUGUUUAAUAAUUUGAGGCAGUUCUAAACGGUUUUAGAAAAAAGCUACAUUUAUAUUAACAUUAUCAAGGUAUGAGGAUUCCAAUUCUUCCACAUGUUCCCAAACAUUUAAUGUCUAUCUUUUGGAUUAUAGUCAUCUUACUGGACAUGAGGCAGUAGGUUUGUUAUAGUCAUCUUUUCAUGUGAUAUUGGAAAUAGUGUUAACGAGAAUUCCUGGAAAGAAUCUGUGUCUGCAAGACUAACUGAAAACUACAGUGAUGUGGAGAGGUUGGAAUGUGGUAGGUCCAGAUGCUAAUGACCUUGUCUUGGGCUACCUUUGGCCCCUAGAGUAGCCAUUUCUUGCCCACCUUUGUGUCAGAACUAACAUCCUGUGACUAAUAGAUUAAAACCUUUGGGAUAUAUUGAUUUGAGCAGACUACUAGCUUCUGCUAACCCAAAAGCUAAGAAUGUCUUAGGCAUUGUGGCGCAUACCUUUAAUCCCAGCACUCUGAAGGCAGAGGCAGGCAGAUUUCUAUAUGAAUUCAAGACCAGCCUGGUCUACAUAGUGAGUUCCAAGACAGACAGGGCUAUGUAGAGAGACUGAGACUGUGUCUCAAAACAAAACACACACACACACACACACACACACACACACACACACACACACAAUCUAAAACCCAAACCAAAAAAAAGCUAAGAAUGUCAUCAGUUAGCAUCUUAGGCCUAUAAAAAAAGCUUACCCUGUCUUGUUGUAACUGCCUCUCUGAUGUACCCACCAAUGUAUUUCAAACUUGCCUUGAUUUUUUUUUUUUACUUUCUUUGUUCUGUAAAACUAUAAAAACUUCAUGAAACUGCUUCCAGCUGGGUGGUGGUGGUGCACGCCUUUAAUUCCAGCACUCAGGAAGCAGAGACAGGUGGAUCUCUGUGAGUUUGAGGUCAGCCUGGUCUACAGAGUGAGUUUCAGGAAAGGCUCCAAAACUACACAGAGAAACCCUGUCUAAAAAACAAACAAACGAAUAAACAAAAAACUUCAUGAAACUGCUUCUAUGUUGAAACAGACUUUGGGGUAAUCCGAAUCUGUGUUCAGCUCCAGUUUUCUGGAGCCAUGGUCACUCAAAAAUGGCUCCAGAAUGAACAAUGGGCCACCAAGUUACCAUGCAAACUGAGUCAUGCCCAUUAUGAGCUGGCUAUUAUCAGAAUCACAAGGCCAUGAAGUAGGGCAUACACAACAGCAAUCCAACCAAUAUCAAAUGGAAGUGGUAUAGAUGUAAUCGGGCCCAAGCUGGGUCCUGAAGGCACAAGCAAGUUAUGUGAAGAAGUUGCCCAAAUGCCUAUGGUUUCUACUCCUGUUACAAGGCCUUCUGUUUCCAAACGUACCUAUGGCCUCAGGAGGUGUGCCUACAAUCAGUUGACUGAGGAAGAAAAGACCAGGGCCUGGUUUACUGAUAGUGCUGCAUGCUAUGCAGGUACCACCCAGAAAUGGACAGCUGGAGCAUUACAGUUCCAUUCUAGGAACCCCUAAAAGACACUGGGAAGGGAAAUCUUCACAGUGGGCAGAACUCUGGGCAGUACACAUGGUCAUACAUUUUGCUUGGAAGGAGAAAUGGCAGAUGUACCAUUGUUUACUGAUUCAUGGGCUAUAACCAAUGGAUUGUCUAGAUGGUCAGGGAUGUGGAAAGAACAUGAUUGGAAAACUGAUGAGAAAGACAUCUGUGGAAGAAGUAUUUGGAUGGCUCUCUCCAAAUGGGCAAAGUAUGUGAAGAUAAUUUUGUCCCAUAAAUUUUUUUUGACAGGA
Long non-coding RNA from Peromyscus eremicus (cactus mouse), 2809 nucleotides. RefSeq lists it as uncharacterized. The transcript is spliced from 2 exons. The record is from RefSeq and is a predicted model, not a curated record. Lineage: Eukaryota; Metazoa; Chordata; Mammalia; Rodentia; Cricetidae.